GACGAACGCUAGCGGCGUGCCUAAGCUAUGCAAGUCGAGCGGGGUUUCAGAGUCGAGUUUCCUUCGGGAGACAAAGCACUGAAACCUAGCGGCGAACGGGUGAGUAACACGUGAGCAACCUACCCUGUUGUCCGGGAUAACAGACCGAAAGGCCUGCUAAUACCGGAUACGAAGCUCCUUCGCAUGUUGGAGCUUGGAAAGGGGCAACCCGCAAUGGGAGGGGCUUACGGCCUAUCAGCUAGUUGGUGAGGUAACGGCCCACCAAGGCGACGACGGGUAGCCGACCUGAGAGGGUGACCGGCCACACUGGGACUGAGACACGGCCCAGACUCCUACGGGAGGCAGCAAGCGGGAAUCUUGCACAAUGGGCGCAAGCCUGAUGCAGCGACGCCGCGUGAGGGAUGAAGGCCUUCGGGUCGUAAACCUCUGUUGAUGGGGACGAAGAU
RNAcentral lists this ribosomal RNA (446 nucleotides) under uncultured bacterium. RNAcentral describes it as "bacterial SSU rRNA". It matches the Rfam family "Bacterial small subunit ribosomal RNA", at positions 28 to 452 of the family's 1533-position model. The record is from RNAcentral.